AGUGAACGCUGGCGGUAGGCCUAACACAUGCAAGUCGAACGGCAGCACAGUAAGAGCUUGCUCUUACGGGUGGCGAGUGGCGGACGGGUGAGGAAUACAUCGGAAUCUACUUUUUCGUGGGGGAUAACGUAGGGAAACUUACGCUAAUACCGCAUACGACCUACGGGUGAAAGCAGGGGAUCUUCGGACCUUGCGCGAUUGAAUGAGCCGAUGUCGGAUUAGCUAGUUGGCGGGGUAAAGGCCCACCAAGGCGACGAUCCGUAGCUGGUCUGAGAGGAUGAUCCGCCACACUGGAACUGGGACACGGUCCAGACUCCUACGGGAGGCAGCAGUGGGGAAUAUUGGACAAUGGGCGCAAGCCUGAUCCAGCCAUCCCGCGUGGGUGAAGAAGGCCUUCGGGUUGUAAAGCCCUUUUGUUGGGAAAGAAAAGCAGCAGGUUAAUACCCCGCUGUUCUGACGGUACCCAAAGAAUAAGCACCGGCUAACUUCGUG
RNAcentral lists this ribosomal RNA (492 nucleotides) under uncultured bacterium. RNAcentral describes it as "partial 16S ribosomal RNA". It matches the Rfam family "Bacterial small subunit ribosomal RNA", at positions 29 to 507 of the family's 1533-position model. The record is from RNAcentral.